GACGAAGGGGGCUAGCGUUGUUCGGAAUUACUGGGCGUAAAGCGCGUGUAGGCGGUUAUCCAAGGCGGGGGUGAAAGCCUUGAGCUCAACUCAAGAAAUGCACUCGGUACUGGGUGACUAGAGGACCGGAGAGGAUAGUGGAAUUCCCAGUGUAGUGGUGAAAUACGUAGAGAUUGGGAAGAACACCAGUGGCGAAGGCGGCUAUCUGGACGGUUUCUGACGCUAAGACGCGAAAGCGUGGGGAGCAAACAGG
This 253-nucleotide ribosomal RNA is filed under the name uncultured bacterium. RNAcentral's name for it is "partial 16S ribosomal RNA". It matches the Rfam family "Bacterial small subunit ribosomal RNA", at positions 524 to 776 of the family's 1533-position model. The record is from RNAcentral.